AUACCCUCUUAAAUUUGUGGGAAAUAUGCGUGUACAUCCUAUUUCAUUUUUAGAAAUAUAACUACAGUGAUCCGGUCACUUAGGUCUUCUCUCGAACAUGUGAUAUCCAUUUCACAGAUGGUGACGGAGAGAACUCCGUUGGAAUUCGUUUAGUUCUUUACUAAAUGUCCUUCCUGCAAAACCAAAUUCAUACACAACCCAUUGAUAUCUAACAAACUAGGACCUUAAGCAUUCAUCAAUUUCACUCUCAAUCAAACUAAUCUCUUCUCCACUGGUUCUAUGUGGUUAUAGGGUUUCCUUUUUCAUCCACUGUAUAUUUAAAAUGGUUGGGGCUAAACGAAAUCUUCUGCAACGAUUGAACAAAAAACAGAAGCAGAUCAAAGAACAUGUUCCUGAACUUGAUCCCAGGUAAUUGGGCGUUUAUGCAAUUGGGUCAUGGUGAAAUUGAAGACUGCAUCUCAACAAAUUUUGGAAAUUUUAGUGUAUUUUAGUUCAAUAAAUUUUGGAAAGUUUGAUGUGUUAAGACUUAAGAAGGAAACAAAUUGAGGAUUGUGAAACAGGGUUCAAAUUGUGUUUUCCUGGGUGAUCGUCGUUUUGCUGUUGAUUGUAAAAUUAGUUUUGCUGCCGACAGUCGAACGUGGGAGAUGAUGAAGAUCUUGAUUAGAAAGGAAAGGAAUAAUGAAGACUAAAAGUCUACGUUAAUAUGAUAUCAUUAUUUUUAGGUGUGAGGGUAUUUAGGACAGUUCACUAAAAAUGGUUUUUGUUUUUGCCACAUAUGCACAGGUGCUGACUCAGCUAACCAAGAAAUGGAUGGAAAAAUUAACGAUGUGAGGAAACAUUAAUUUGGAUAUAUUUGGGGAGGAAACGCUAAAUAGCGAUCUUGGGAGGGGAGGAAACACAAAAUAGCCCUAGAAUCAAUUUGAAUGUUGAGGUGCAUAAUUAUUGUUUUAUUAAAUCACUAAUAUCGACCAAUGGUGGAAUCCUAGCCCCAAUCUCUCCAUAAUUUUCACAACACCUUUUUAUCUGAGUUUGUUAAUUUUAUUUA
This is a long non-coding RNA of Papaver somniferum (opium poppy), 1045 nucleotides long. RefSeq lists it as uncharacterized. NCBI's taxonomy places the organism in Eukaryota, Viridiplantae, Streptophyta, Magnoliopsida, Ranunculales, Papaveraceae. The transcript has 2 exons. The record is from RefSeq and is a predicted model, not a curated record.